Molecule: long non-coding RNA, 1250 nt
Filed under: Nicotiana benthamiana
Lineage: Eukaryota; Viridiplantae; Streptophyta; Magnoliopsida; Solanales; Solanaceae
Description: long non-coding RNA (NBEN_LNC038615)
Source: RNAcentral
GUCAAACUGACCCGGUCCUAAAUGGUAAAACCGUCAAAGGGUCCCAGCUUGCGGGCCCGGCCCAGCUUAUUUGCCAGCCUUAAUAAAAACACAUCCGCCUUGUUUUAGUCAUGUUAGCUCUUUUACUUUACAUCCUAUGCUUUCUAGGAGUCAGUAGAAAAUGUAAACUUCUUAUACUUUACUUUUAUUUUGUAUGAUAUUGGCCUGGGAUGAUUUUAGAUUGAGUUUCCUGAGGAUUCUUAUAACCGACCCCCAACUCUUUUGAGAUUGAUGCAUAAUAGUAGCAGUUGUACUUUAAAACCAUACUUCAAAAUUUUGAUUCAACUAUUAAAGUCGUGUUCAAACUGUGAUUUUAGACAAUUACACAGGAUUAACUAUUUUAACCAUCUGCAGUUAUUUAUUAUUAGUUUUGUGAUGAAAUUUGCUCUUCAAAAUUGCAAUUUGCUUACUGUUGGAUUAAACAUAAGAAAUCUCAUCUUGGGAAUCAUGAUCUAAAUUUUGAGCAUUCUGUUAAUAAGACUGUUAUAUAAUAUUUGACAAUGCUAGGGAUGAAGGAAGAAAGCUAAAAACCGGUCGUUGAAUCUAACCUGAGAAUGAGAAUAAAGGUUGGAGGUCCCGAAGCUCCUGCGACUGCAAGGUAGCAUAAUACCACAGUGUGGCCCUUCUCCAUAUCUCUACUUACUGGCUGGGUGCAGAUAACACUGUAAUAAUAACAAAGCCAGAUAGAGAUACUGUUCGUUCAGAAUUGAUUCAGAUGGCGAGGACCCACGGAAAAAUCCACCUUAUUCAUGCUCCGCACAGCAACUUGCCCGGUCAAUAUUAUAUGUCUAUGCUAAACUUGGUGAUCUAUUUUCGUUGCCCCCUUUAAGCGUAUGUGAUAUAAUCAUUCUUAUCUCAGAAGAGAAGUAUGCAUUGUCCCCACUUAAGUUAUUAAGUAUUCCCAAAGACGAGGCGAUUUUUUUUUAUGUUGAAACUUUAUGUCAGCCAGGGGACCCUGAUCAUAAAUGGGUUUUAUUAUAAAGUACGCCAAACAAAGGGGGGUGGGAGGUGCUGGGUUGGAAUUGAUGCUUUGUUUGAGCACAAAGCAGGGACUUGCACGGCAUAUCUGAAGAGUGAUUCCAGGGUGAGUAAAGAACUCUAUGAUAUAGGUCCAGCAAUUGGUUGGCGCAUAGUGGCACUAACGGAGAGUAGGAAAGUUCAUUCUCAAAAAAAUAAAAUACAGAGACUACGAAACUUGUAUCAGGCUUUGA